This 3216-nucleotide unclassified non-coding RNA is filed under the name Leishmania donovani. RNAcentral's name for it is "gene:LdHU3.13.0860(CDS-product:protein_kinase_put ative)". The record is from RNAcentral. Lineage: Eukaryota; Euglenozoa; Kinetoplastea; Trypanosomatida; Trypanosomatidae.
GCAAGUGGCGAAGCAACCGUAUUGCAUGGAGAGGGUGGUGCUCGUGUCGUCAGCGCAGUCCAUCAAGCACACCCACACGAGCCUUUAGUCGGCCUCAUGACGCAGCCACUGCCCUUGUCCACCAUCCUGCGGCACCCGCUCGCCUCGAAGCGGUGCAUGAUGAUAUUCCAUCAGAACGGCGAGGAGACAAUGGAACUGUUCGAGCUGCUCUCCCGCUAUGAGGCUGUCGGUCCGAUCGGUCAGGGCAGCUACGGCUAUGUCUGCUCCGCCCGCGAUAACGACCUUGUAGAGAGGUUCCAGGCAAAACCGCCAGAGGAGUACGAGGACGCCUCGCUAACAUUGGAGGAGCGGGAGGAGGUUUACGACACGAACACCCUCGUCGCCAUCAAGAAACUGCGCCAGCUUUUCGAAAACAACCAGCCGCGUAUGUGGCUGUGCGCCACUCGGGAAAUACAGCUCAUGAUGGCGUUCCAGCACGACAACGUCAUGUCGGCGACGGACUUCUUCAUUCCCCUCGGCGGUGUGGAGAUGAUGACAUACGACUCCAUCCUGCAGCUUCAGCACACCUUCGACGGCGUCUACGUGGUUAUGAAAAAGAUGGACUACACGCUGCGCGAGGUGCUCGAUUCCACCAUUGUGACGGCGGCGGAGCUGGCGCCGGGGUACGAGACGUGGCUGCGACGUUUGAGGCUGUUGAUGGCGAACUGCGGCGAGGUGAACGCAGAUGUCAGUAGCACCCCGACCCCUGUGCGGGCAUCGCGCCUGAACGUAAAGGCAGAGGCUCAAGGUGAGGACCAGGCAGCAGCCGCGCCGCAUAGCAGCACGGAGCAAAGUCGUAGCGGUGGCAGAGAGGAUGUUGAGGACGAAGCCGGCGCGACUGUAACGUCGUCAUUAGACUACCCAGUCGCAGCUGCACCAGCAGCAGCAGCAGCAGCAGCGCCAACGAACGAUCACGACGCCCCCGUGGCCAAGACCUCUACUGAUGGCGGUGUCGAAGGGAAGGGUGGCGGCGACGACGAAGGCGCUCCUGUGUGUUGCCCGCUGACGACGGUCGCCCUCCACUCCCUCACCCGCGACUACCGCAAGUUUAUUCUGUACCAAAUAUUCCGCGGUGUCGGCUACCUUCAUCUGUGCCCGGUAAUCCACCGCGAUCUGAAGCCGGAGAACAUCAUGCUCGACCGCAGCUACGGCACCCGUAUCACGGACUUUGGCCAGGGCCGCGAUGUCGGACUCAACGCGACAACCGACUACGUGCAGACAGUGCUGGACAACUGCACCCAGUGGUACGCUGCGCCAGAGACGCUGACAGUCGCCAUCAAUAGCCCGAUGGGCUUCAUCGACCACGACAGCUUCCACGGCGUCGAUGUCUGGUCCAUCGGGUGCAUUGCAGCCGAAAUGCUGAUCGGACGCCCCCUCUUUUACACCACCUCGAUGGGCGGGAAGUCCCAGCUGCUGAGCAUUUUCCGCGUGCUGGGCGAGCCGUCGGCGAGCGCCAUCGAGUCUAUCGCCGAGUACCGCGACAAGGAGACGAGGGAGCUUUUCAUGAACUCCGUCAAGAAACUGGUGAAGACAGCGCCACCGUCAAACACCAUCACGCCGACGCUAGCGGAGCUCCUGCGGAGCCCUUACGGCGACGAGGACGAGGAUGAGGUGGGUCUCAUCAUCGACUGCCUGCGCUGGGACCCGCGGGAGCGCAUCACGAUUCAGGCAGCGCUGCAGAACCCGUUCUUCACAAAGGACGGGUACGACCCAGUGAUCGACCCCGAAGACACGGCCAAGCGCGUGCCCUCGGUGAGACCCGAGGACAUAUCAGAGCCGGUGAGCGGGCGGGCGUUCUUGUGGAACCUUUUCCUCGAGCGCCAUCCGGAGGUGAAGGAGCUGUGGAACUCCCUCGUGGCCAAGCACGAGGAGGAGCUGAAGGUGAAGAAGGCGGCGGCAGAUACCUAGGUAGAGAGGGGGUCAUCGGACCCACAGAGCAUCACACAUCUACACAGUUGGUAGCGAGAGGAGCAAAGGCCUUGUUCAGGCCGCGCCUUGCCGUACACGCACGCACGUAGGUAGGUUUGUGUGUGUAUGGGGGGUGUCUUCCGAUGGCCACUGAUGAAGCUGAAACUCAGGAGUCGAAGAGGAAAGAGGGAGGAGGUUGGGCGGGAUGGGUGAUGGCACUUGAUACACGUGCGCGCUACCCUACAUCUCACCCCGUGAAUACCCCACACUCCGCCUUCGCUCUGAACUCUUGGUCUCUCCCCGCUCUAAUGCCGAGUCACCAUCACCGUCGCGCUCAACCUCUCGUCCUUGCAUGCUCGUGUUGUGUUUCGAGGAGAGGCCUCCGCGCCACAGCUCCCGGCCUCCCUUAUCGGCGUUGUCGAGCCAGCACUCUAUAUAUAAACCUAUAUAUAUAUAUAUAUAUGUGUGUGUGUAUGUGUAUUGUGAAGAAACUUAUCUUCCUGUAGGUUGUGCGCGUGUGUGUGUGUGUGUGUUUGGGCGUUGUUGUUGGCGGCACGUUCGCUUGCAUGGGCGGAGGGCGGAGGGGUGUAUUUAUGUGUAGCUUGCUGUUCCUUUAUACAACCUCUCUCUCUUUGGCUUAGGUUUUGUUCGGUUGGGCGUCGAGCGUCUGCGCUUGAAUCGGGAGGUAUAGGUAAGUACGUGUUCCUCCUGUGCGUUGCGUGGCAUGCGUGUGUGUGCGAGCACGAACGUGCCCCACGCAGCCGCGCAUACACUCUAACGAGUGUGUGUGUGUGUCUUUCUCUCGAUGUGGCCCCUCCCUCUCCCUCUCCCUCCCCCUCUUCCUCCUCUUUCUUUGGCUGUACGCUGGCUCUCGCGUCCCUCUUAUCCCUCUCACCUCAGCCCCCCCCUUCUCCUCCUCCAUCUCCUCUGCGUCGUCGCCAACCGCAUCCGCAUGCAACGACCCACGGGCGUGCUCAACGCUUCUUGUAUUUUUAUUGCGACGUCGCCGUCACGUGUGUGGGUGUGUGUGUGUGUGUGUGUGUGUGUGUGUGUCUUGUGUGGUUCAUUGUUGUUGUUUUCCUUUCUUCGCCCUCCUCUCCUCCUCCCCUCUGUGAUGUCAAACACGCCAACGCGAAUUGAAACGCGUACACCGCCAACGAUUUCGCCCCAUCGCCCAACAAGAUCGGAGCAGAGAGGCAUCGCCGGCCCUCACCGCAUUUUUGUUGUGCGCACUUGUGACUGCCGCUACGCGUGCUUGCUUUGCUGUUC